This 321-nucleotide unclassified non-coding RNA is filed under the name uncultured fungus. RNAcentral describes it as "partial contains 18S rRNA, ITS1, 5.8S rRNA, ITS2 and 28S rRNA". The record is from RNAcentral. Lineage: Eukaryota; Fungi.
AAGGAUCAUUAUUGAAUAUAAACUUGGGUAGACUGUUGCUGGCUCCUCUUGGAGCAUGUGCACGUUUAUCCUCUUUAUUCUUCCACCUGUGCACCUUUUGUAGGCUUGGAUUUAUAACACCAUUUUGACUAUGUCUCUAGGGCAUAAGAAUCGUUUUGGGACUGCUGUGUUUAAACACAUGUUUAUCAGCUUUUCCUUUUGUUUUUCCAAGUCUAUGUUUUUUCAUACACAUGUCAAAGAUGUUAUAGGAUGCUGUACUUUAGGUCAUUUGUAACCUAUAAUAAAUCAGUACAACUUUCAGCAACGGAUCUCUUGGCUCUC